This 65-nucleotide transfer RNA is filed under the name Platygaster sp. ZJUH_2016026. RNAcentral describes it as "tRNA-His". Lineage: Eukaryota; Metazoa; Arthropoda; Insecta; Hymenoptera; Platygastridae. The record is from RNAcentral.
GUUUAAAUAGUUUAAAGAAAAUAUUAAUUUGUGGGAUUGAAGAUAUUAGUAGUAAAUUUUAAAUU